RNAcentral lists this ribosomal RNA (363 nucleotides) under uncultured bacterium. Its description in RNAcentral is "bacterial SSU rRNA". It matches the Rfam family "Bacterial small subunit ribosomal RNA", at positions 29 to 417 of the family's 1533-position model. The record is from RNAcentral.
AACGAACGCUGGCGGCAGGCCUAACACAUGCAAGUCGAACGCGCGUAGCAACACGCGAGUGGCGCACGAGUGAGUAACACGUGGGAACCAACCCAGAGGUUCGGAAUAACCGCGGGAAACUGCGGCUAAUACCGGAUAUCCCCUACGGGGGAAAGAUUUAUCGCCUCUGGACGGGCCCGCGUCCGAUUAGCUAGUUGGUGAGGUAAUGGCUCACCAAGGCGACGAUCGGUAGCUGGUCUGAGAGGACGACCAGCCACACUGGGACUGAGACACGGCCCAGACUCCUACGGGAGGCAGCAGUGGGGAAUAUUGGACAAUGGGCGCAAGCCUGAUCCAGCGAUGCCGCGUGUGUGAAGAAGGCCU